RNAcentral lists this small nuclear RNA (105 nucleotides) under Salvator merianae (Argentine black and white tegu). Lineage: Eukaryota; Metazoa; Chordata; Lepidosauria; Squamata; Teiidae. The record is from RNAcentral.
GUGCUCUCUUCCACAGCACAUAUACUAAAAUUGGAAAGAUACAGAGAAGAUUAGCAUGGCCNCUGUGCAAGACAAAAAAAUUAACAAAAUGUUGUACAAAUGUUU